GAUGAAGAACGCAGCGAAAUGCGAUAAGUAAUGUGAAUUGCAGAAUUCAGUGAAUCAUCGAAUCUUUGAACGCACAUUGCGCCCGUCAGUAUUCUGGCGGGCAUGCCUGUUCGAGCGUCAUUACGCCCCUCAAGUCCCCUGUGGGCUUGGUGUUGGGGAUCGGCGAGGCUGGUUUUCCAGCACAGCCGUCCCUUAAAUUAAUUGGCGGUCUCGCCGUGGCCCUCCUCUGCGCAGUAGUAAAACACUCGCAACAGGAGCCCGGCGCGGUCCACUGCCGUAACACCCCCCAACUUUUUAUAGUUGACCUCGAAUCAGGUAGGACUACCCGCUGAACUUAAGCAUAUCGAUAAGCGGAGGA
RNAcentral lists this unclassified non-coding RNA (358 nucleotides) under soil metagenome. RNAcentral describes it as "partial contains 5.8S ribosomal RNA, internal transcribed spacer 2, and large subunit ribosomal RNA". The stretch from base 1 to 120 matches the Rfam family "5.8S ribosomal RNA", at positions 35 to 154 of the family's 154-position model. The record is from RNAcentral.